GCUUGUCUAUAAAUUAGCCAAAGCUAGAAAGUUAGCUUCUUUUUUAUCAGCUCCAUUUCGUUGCGUUACUAUUAAGUUCGUCGUCCUGUAGUUUUUAAAUUUUUGUCUUUUUUUUGCGCUAAUAUCGUUUGUCGUCUUAAUAAGAUGCAAGCAAAUCUAAUUUUUUUUACAGGAUAAUUAUUAUGUCUAACAAAACGACUGGUACAGUUAAGUGGUUCAACGAAUCUAAAGGUUUCGGUUUCAUCGAGCAAGAGUCUGGUCCAGAUGUAUUCGCACACUUCAGUGCAAUCACUGGUUCUGGCUUCAAAACACUUGCUGAAGGCCAAAAAGUUGAGUUCACAGUAGGUCAAGGCCCUAAAGGUCCUCAGGCUGAAGACAUCGUAGCGCUAUAAUUUCAAUAGCCGCUAGACAGAAAGCAAGCUUUUAAGCUUGCUUUUUUUG
Molecule: small RNA, 441 nt
Filed under: Marinomonas mediterranea MMB-1
Lineage: Bacteria; Pseudomonadati; Pseudomonadota; Gammaproteobacteria; Oceanospirillales; Oceanospirillaceae
Description: cspA thermoregulator
Rfam family: cspA thermoregulator
Source: Rfam by way of RNAcentral